RNAcentral lists this ribosomal RNA (313 nucleotides) under uncultured marine eukaryote. RNAcentral describes it as "SSU rRNA". It matches the Rfam family "Eukaryotic small subunit ribosomal RNA", at positions 1 to 310 of the family's 1831-position model. The record is from RNAcentral.
AACCUGGUUGAUCCUGCCAGUAGUCAUACGCUUGUCUCAAAGAUUAAGCCAUGCAUGUGUAAGUAUAAACAAUUCUAUACUGUGAAACUGCGAAUGGCUCAUUAUAUCAGUUAUAGUUUAUUUGAUAGUACUUUGCUACUUGGAUAACCGUAGUAAUUCUAGAGCUAAUACAUGCACAAAAUCCCGACUUUCUUGGAAGGGACGUAUAUAUUAGAAUGAAACCAAUCGGCGCUUGCGCUGUAUUGUGGUGAGUCAUAAUAUCUUAUCGGAUCGCAGUGGUCUUGUACCGGCGAUGAAUCAUUCAAGUUUCUGC